AUUGAACGCUGGCGGCAUGCCUAACACAUGCAAGUCGAACGGUAACACGAAGAGUUUUCCUUCUUUUCGUAGGGGUCGGGGGGGGGAUACUAAUGUCGGGUACCUUUCUUUAUGGGGGGGGUAACUUACGGAAAACGUAACAAAUAACCCAAUAACUCUCCAAACCCAAGGUGGGGGGCCUUCGGGCUUUUUUCCUUCUAGUUGGCCCCGCUGGGAUUAGCUAUUAGGUGGGGUAACGGGUCACCUAGGGCACGAUCCCUAGCUGGUCUGAGAGGAUGAACGGCCACACGGGAACUGAGACACGGUCCAGACUCCUACGGGAGGCAGCAGUGGGGAAUAUUGCGCAAUGGGCGCAAGCCUGAUGCAGCCAUGCCGCGUGUAUGAAGAAGGCCUUCGGGUUGUAAAGUCCUUUCAGCGGGGAGGAAGGGAGUAAAGUUAAUACCUUUACUCAUUGACGUUACCCGCAGAGGAAGCACCGGCUAACUACGUG
RNAcentral lists this ribosomal RNA (490 nucleotides) under uncultured bacterium. RNAcentral describes it as "partial 16S ribosomal RNA". It matches the Rfam family "Bacterial small subunit ribosomal RNA", at positions 30 to 507 of the family's 1533-position model. The record is from RNAcentral.